This 413-nucleotide ribosomal RNA is filed under the name uncultured bacterium. RNAcentral's name for it is "bacterial SSU rRNA". It matches the Rfam family "Bacterial small subunit ribosomal RNA", at positions 29 to 433 of the family's 1533-position model. The record is from RNAcentral.
AACGAACGCUGGCGGCGCGCCUAACACAUGCAAGUCGAACGAGAAGGCGUAGCAAUACGCUUGUACAGUGGCGAACGGGUGAGGAACACGUGGGUAACCUACCCUCGAGUGGGGAAUAACCAACCGAAAGGUUGGCUAAUGCCGCGUAAGCUUCCAUCUCUUCGGAGGUGGAAGGAAAGCUGUACCGUGGGUACAGCGCUCAAGGAUGGGCUCACGUCCUAUCAGCUUGUUGGUAGGGAACGGCCUACCAAGGCAACGACGGGUAGCUGGUCUGAGAGGACGAUCAGCCACACUGGCACUGCGACACGGGCCAGACUCCUACGGGAGGCAGCAGUGAGGAAUAUUGCGCAAUGGGCGAAAGCCUGACGCAGCGACGCCGCGUGGGGGAUGAAGGUCUUCGGAUUGUAAACCCC